RNAcentral lists this ribosomal RNA (388 nucleotides) under uncultured bacterium. Its description in RNAcentral is "bacterial SSU rRNA". It matches the Rfam family "Bacterial small subunit ribosomal RNA", at positions 29 to 417 of the family's 1533-position model. The record is from RNAcentral.
AUUGAACGCUGGCGGCGUGCCUAACACAUGCAAGUCGAGCGGUAACAGGUGUAGCAAUACAUGCUGACGAGCGGCGGACGGGUGAGUAACGCUUGGGGAAUCUGCCUGUUAGUGGGGGACAACCCGGGGAAACUCGGGCUAAUACCGCAUACGCACUACGGUGGAAAGCCGGGGACCGCAAGGCCUGGCGCUAACAGAUGAGCCCAAGUCGGAUUAGCUAGUUGGUAGGAACGGCCUACCAAGGCGACGAUCCGUAACUGGUCUGAGAGGACGACCAGUCACACCGGAACUGAGGCACGGUCCGGACUCCUACGGGAGGCAGCAGUGGGGAAUAUUGGACAAUGGGCGAAAGCCUGAUCCAGCGACGCCGCGUGGGUGAAGAAGGCCU